This 12403-nucleotide long non-coding RNA is filed under the name Prunus persica (peach). Its description in RNAcentral is "long non-coding RNA (PPER_LNC004041)". Lineage: Eukaryota; Viridiplantae; Streptophyta; Magnoliopsida; Rosales; Rosaceae. The record is from RNAcentral.
GAAGCUAGCCGCCAUCUCCUCAUACCAAUUUGCUGCUUCUUGCUUCAGCUGCUGUCUCUCUGCUUCAACAUCUCAUCACCUCAGAAAUCUACUGCAAACCCUUUCUAAGGUACCUCUCUCUCUCUCUCUCUCUCUCUGUCUCUCUCUCUCUGAGUUGGCUUGAAUGAUCAUAAACUGCUAGUUUUCUUCUUCUUUGAAAAUGUUAAUAAACUAAGGUUGUUUUAUUGUAAUUCAAAGAUGCAUUCAAAAGCAAUGUUUCCCUGUUUGCAUAGUAAAAACACUCUGGUUAAAAAUUAUAUAUUUCUUUAUGAGUGUAUGUAUAGGGAAAACAGUUGUCUUAAAUUAUUGAAUUUUAUGGAAACCCUAUGAACCAACCCAUAAGCCUCACUUGAUCACAUUGCAUGUGCAAUCCACGUGUCCUAUAUACAAGUUGUCACUUGGCAGUAUGUACCCAACUUAUAUAUAAUAAAACCAAAGUUAUUAUCUUGAUAUGAUUUAUAUCCAUUCCAAUAUGACGUCAAUAAAACUCAGGUCAGUUUGCACAUCAUCAAAAUGCUCAGCCAUUCAUCACCUUUGACUGAUUCAACUUGCAGAUAGGCCCUCAUCAUCCAGAGUGGUUGUUAGCCACAAUUUUUGAAAAUUCCACCAUAGUUUUUUUUUUGUUUCUUCUUUCGAAAAAUCCAGGUGUACUUUUCUGAAAUUUAUUGUCUCUCCACGAAAAAGAUAGUACGGUCGUCGAAUUCUCAUACAAAAAAAUCGAAGAGAUGUCAAGGAAAUAAAUUUCCAACUAUGUUAUCUUUCCUUGAACCCGAGCUUCUUAGGUUUGAUUUUCCUCGACUCCAACAUCGCUGGUAUAAAAAAUAAAAAAUAAAAGAUUUUAAGAAUAUUAUAAGAAGUUUAGUUAUAACUAAAUUGGAAAAGUAUUUAAAUUGUGAACAAGAAAAAGUAUUUAAAUUGGAAAAGCCAUGAGAUGAGUAUCUAGAAUUGUAGAUAAAUAUUUCAAACUCUAGCUCAAUAUAAUAAUAACGAUAUUCAAUGUGGAGGUCACUUGUCAAAGCAUUUAGCCCACUGCAGGUGGGAAAUUAGAAAAGUGGCAGCCAUUUGAUCAUGCGACUUGGAAAGGAAAAUAAUAAUAAUAAUAAAUGCAAAACCCCUGAAGUCAACGUAGUCUUAAUGCUGAGAUUGUCAAUGUGUGACUAAAAUCUAACUGGAAAUAUUCCACAUAGUGAGCAUACAUCAACAUCCUUAACAUCAAUGUUAUUAAUGGAAUCUAACCCCAAAAACAUUUGUCGGCAGAUAAAUAUAUUUCUCAUCAGAUUAGACGCAUGAAUAGAACUUUAUAUUAAAUAUGUUGUCAAUAAUUCAUCGACGCACAUGCUUCUGAUUGUUGAAAAUGGAUUGUUCUCUACUCUGUGUGUUAGAACAAGUACUUUAGGAACAAUUGGGAAUUCAAAUUUUGUGCCGUCGAGGAGCCAGCGCUUGUGUACAACAACAUGAUCGAUUCCAGGAGGAUGUUGAAGCAACCAUGGCAACUUUCAGUGUCCGUUGCCUUCUUUUCCAGCCUGUGCUUCUGGUUUCAGGUGUCCAUGGCUCAAAAUGCCACUACCGAUCCAUCUGAAGGUAAACUAGCCAUGCUUUCCAAAGUCGUACAUAUUUCUAAGCAUCUUUUAAAUACAGAGUAUAUAUAAGUACGUUAUGAUUUCUGGACAGUCUAUUAACAUAAGUACGUUAUGUGAUGUGUACACAACGAUUGAAUUGAGAGUGCAGUGACGGCGUUGAACUCAAUAUUCGAGCAAUGGGACACGCAAGCCGUGCCGGGGCUGUGGAAUAUCAGUGGAGAUCCAUGCAGUGGAUCUGCCGUUAAUGGAACCGACUUUGAGGAUCCAGCUAAUAAUCCAGCCAUAAUUUGUGAUUGUACUUAUGAAAAAAGUACUACCUGCCACAUCACCCAACUGUAUGUUACCCUCCUCCUCUCUCUCUCUCUCUCUCUCUCUCUCUCUCUCCAUACUCCUUAGUCUUGUGUUGUUGACUGUAGCAACUCCAUUAAUUAUGUGUUAGAAAACUAAGCAGAUCAUGCCUGAUAUAUCAAUUGCAUUAUUAAGUGCCUAACUGCUCAAUCUUUUUUCUUUCCAGGAGAGUUUAUGCUCUGAACAAACGAGGGGUGUUUCCACAAGAAUUUGUGGCUUUAAGAUAUCUGACCGUUUUGUAUGAAGUUUUUCCAACCCCAUUCUCUGUUGUUGUGUUUACCAAAAUUAACAUUUGCAUAUAAAAGAGAAAGACACAUGUUUCUUAGUCUUACUGUUCAAAAUUGGCAUGAAUAUUUUUUAUACUCAGAGAUUAAUCGUUGCUCAUUGCACUUUGUUUUAAUUCUUGUAGGAAAAUUGAUCAGAAUUAUUUCACCGGUCCCCUACCAGCGUUCAUCGGCAAUAUGUCCGCGUUGACGUCAUUGUAAGUAGUGAGAGAACAUUUGUUUAAGUUGCAAUACAAAUUUUUAUCUGUCUAAUACUUUGAUGAGACUCAUUCCCUUGUACAAUCUCUAUAAUUGACUUAGAACCCCUUUGAUAACCAUUUCGGUUUUCGGUUUUUAGUUUUCAAUUUUCAAUUUUAAGUUUCCAUUUUUCAUUUUUCAUUUUUCAAAAACUGAAAACUGAAAACUGAAAACUUGUUUGGUAAUUAAUUUCAAUUUUCACAAAAGUGAAAACUGAAAACUGAACACAAGAUAUUUGGUAACUGAAUUAAAUUUUCAGUUUUCAGUUUUAUGUGAAACUUGGAAAUGGAAGUUUUUGGGGUCCAAUUGUGAAUUUAUGAUCAUAGAAUGAAAGUGCAUGUUACAAAAAGUUCGUUGUAUUUUUCGGUGAAUUUUUUUGGAAUUAUGAUGAAUUUUGGAGAUGGAGUUCCUAAGGCUUGGAUUGGGUCCGUGGCCAAGUGCAAGAAUCAAGCAACUGGGUCCAAGUCGGGAGGUCCCAAAUACCAAAUUUUGAUAAUUGGAGUGCAUUCCAUGUGUCGUGAUGUAAAAUUAAUGAAUGAAAUAGGAGCGCAAAACAAAUGAAAAUGAAAACUGAAAUCACUUUCAAGUUCUUUUCAAUAAUAAGGGUUAUUUUGAAAACUAGAUUUCACUUUGAGGUGAUUGGCUUUCCUUUUUGUUUGUGGUCCUGAUAUAUAAGUUGGAACUGUAUUUCUUACAAAUCAAUCAAUUUUGUUGGUUUGUUUCUUCUUUAAGGACAUGAAAUAUAGACCUCCCAAGUGAGUUAUACCAUAUGGUAAAAGCAGCACGUAGUACAUAAAUUUUUUUGUUUUAUCCUAAAUUAUAAACUCGUCCUAAUUUCUUUAAUUGAUAUUUCCAUUCAGGUCAAUUGCCAUCAAUUCAUUCUCUGGGCCCAUCCCCAAGGAGCUUGGAAACCUUACGGAGCUAACUACGCUGUAAGCAAUGAAACAUAAGAAAGCACAAUUAAAUUUUGUGUUCUAGACAAAUGAGAAAUGCUCUAUUGAGACAAGUUCGAUAUAGAACCCCCUAUCAUUUAAUUCUAUACCUCUUCAACAUGACUUGUUGCAGGUCCUUUGGAUCAAAUAAUUUCUCCGGAACACUCCCUCCAGAACUUGGUAACUUAGUCAAGCUCGAGCAAUGGUGAGUGCUUCAUUUAACUCAUCGAAUUUGAAUAGCAUGUUGCAAUGUGUUUUUACCGGUUUAUUUGUUAAUUCAUUAUCGAUGAGAAAGGAGUGCGUUUAUCGUAUGAAAUUGGUACUAACCAGUUUAUGAUUUUCACAGGUACAUGGACAGCUGUGGACUUAGUGGGGAAAUUCCUUCAACAUUUGCUAAGCUCAUCAACAUGCAAAUCCUGUAAAAAUGGCCCUUAAGUGGUGUUUUAAGUUUUUUUUUUUGUUUUUUUUGUUUUUUUUGUUUAUUCAGCACUUUGAGAUUGCUAUUCUGGGAUGAGCUUACUAUGAGUCAACUUUUUGAAUUUUAGCUGGGCAUCAGACAUUGCUUUCUCAGGAAAGAUACCUGCUUUCAUUGGGAAUUGGACAAAACUGACUGUUUUGUAAGUAUGGAAAACUUUUAACCUGCUGCAGUUUAUGAAAGCAGACCUGCAUGGCUGAGAGAUGGGUCUUUUAUUCACAAGCAUCUCAAAUGUUUUUGUAGGAGAUUUCAAGGGAACUCUUUUGAAGGUCCAAUACCAACCAGUUUUUCUCAACUGACUUCAUUGAACACUCUGUAAGGGCAAAUGCUUCAUACAUUUUACUCUUUCUCUCUCUCUCUCUCUCUCUCUCUCUCUCUCUCUCUCUCUCUCUCUCUCUCUCUCACUACACUAGCAUCACUUAUGUUUGUGUAUGAUAAUGCAGGCGAAUCAGUGAUAUAUCUAAUGUGAGCUCCUCUCUUGAUUUUAUAAGAAAUUUGAAGAACUUGACCGAUUUGUAAGUUAACAUUCUCAUCCCUUCAAAUAUCAUGAUAUAACUUCUUUUUUCCUUUUAAAAUUUGCAAUCUUACUCAUUUACCUGUGCACUAAAUUUUUUGGUGGUGGAACAGAGUUCUACGGAAUGCAUUAAUCAAUGGUAGCAUUCCUUCUGAUAUUGGAGAAUAUGAAGGUUUACAGAUACUGUAGGUUCCAGCAGAUAUAUAAGUCCAAAUCUCAAAAAUCCCAAUUAAUUUUCUUUCAUUCUAAUUGCUUUCUAACCUUAUCAUUCAUGUUGCAGGAAUCUGGGUUUCAACAAUUUAACAGGCCAACUCCCAAGUUCUUUGUUCAACAUGAGUUCUCUUACAUACUUGUAAUAAGCACUGCCUUCUUUAUUACAUUUUUCUGUGCUCAGAAACUUAGUCAUUCAUCUGACCUUUUUCUUGUUUCUUUCUUCAUUUUUCCUUCUUUUUCUGGGUGCCUUAUAUUAUAAUUGAAAUGGCCAGGUUUCUUGGAAACAAUAGCCUGUCUGGACCUCUUCCAAGCCAAAAGAGCGAUCAACUUCAGACUAUGUAAGUCCUCAUGUCAUAAAAGUAUGCUAUAUAGAAUGUACUGGCAAUGAAACAAUGAAACAAAUACUCUGUGUGUGUCUGUGUGCAUAUGGGUGUAUCUGUGUACGUGAGAUAAAAUCUCAAUCAGGGCCUCAUCCAUUGAUGAAAACAUUCUAAUCAUUUUUUUUGUUCAAAUUAUUUUGAACUUUCAUACACUUUGUGCCCUCUCAUUCUGUAUUGUUAUGUGCAGUGAUUUGUCUUACAACUAUUUAUCAGGAAGCUUUCCCCAAUGGGUAACCACAAUAUCACAACUGUAUGUCUCCUUUUUAUCUUUCACCUUCAUGUUUACAAUUUAAAUUACCAGAAUUGGUUUGGGCAAAACAUAUCACCAGGAUUUGUUCUUACAGUGCUUCUUUCCUCGAAUAUUCUGCAUAUAUAAUACCCAUAUGAAUGAAAUUCAAUAAAGCUUAAUAUCACAAAACGUCCUUAAGGUUUAAGAAACUAUCAGAUUGCAUCCUUAAUGUUUUUUUUGUGUCAUUUGUGGUCCUUACAAAUAAUGUGUGCGACAGUUUGAAGUGAUGGAUUUGAAGUACUACUAUGUUUAGAUAUUGAACAUGAAAUCUUUAUUUAAUAAACAUGUAUAGCUUCAUAUGUUGAUUGAUUAAUGAUUUUAUGCAGGAACUUAGUGGUCAACAACUUCACAUUUGGGAGUUCAAACAUAACGUGAGUUGAAGUUUCUCUUACCCUUAGUUAGACAGACAAUACUAUCACUACUAGCUAUUACACUCCUUCAGUUUAAUGGAUUCUUCCACUACAUUUUUCCAUCUGGAUAAAUAAUAAUUGUUCUCUUUAUUUGCAGUCUUCCUGGACUGAAUUGCCUCCAGAGGAAUUUUCCAUGCAAUCGAGAUACCCCUCGAUGUAAUCUUCUUUUGUUUCACUAGCCAUUUAUUAAUGCAUUAUCAUGUUACAGGAAUAGGCAUUGCUUCUCUAACUAUGUAUACAUAUUGCAAGAGUGUUUUGAUAUAUCUAGUAAGCAUAUCUGGUUAUAAAUAUGUGAUUCAGAAACAUCAGUAUGAGUCUUGUCUUGAGUUUGAAGUUUUUAUCACUAAUCAUAGCUUGUGCUACUAUAUUCAAUUUUACAGAUGCAAACUUCUCAAUCAAGUGCGGAGGACCACAAAUGAGAGGAAGUGAUGGCAUAUUGUAUGAAGCUGAAGACUCAGCUCUUGGCCCAGCAACAUUUAAUGUAACCAGUACACAGAAAUGGGCUGUUAGCAAUGUGGGUUUGUUUUCUGACAGAAAGAAUCCAUCAUUUGUGGAAACCACCCUUACGCAAGUCACCGGUACAGAUGUGACCCCAGAGCUUUUCCAGACUUCAAGACUGUCCCCAGGUUCACUUAGAUACUAUGGCCUGGGACUUCAGAAUGGACCUUAUACCGUAACGUUGCAAUUUGCAGAAACGGUUUAUGCUAGCCGUGCUACACAAACUUGGCAAAGUUUAGGAAGGCGUGUAUUUGAUAUCUAUAUUCAAGUAAGGCUGCUAAUGAACUAUUUGAAGUAAGGGCAACCUCAUUAGACGAAAUUAUUUAACUAUGUCUUCAUUUGCUUCCUAGGGGAACCUCAGAUGGAAGGACUUCGACAUAUCGAAGGAGGCAGGUGGGGUUAACAGAGCAGUUGGGAAACCCUUCAAGGUUAAUGUGUCAGAGAAUUACCUAGAUAUUCAUCUGUUCUGGGCUGGUAAGGGAACAUGUUGCAUACCUGAACAAGGUGAUUACGGCCCGCUAAUAUCGACUGUCCAUGCUGCUUCAGGUAUAUAAUGUAAUGUUACAUUAUGAAGAUUUCCUAUGAAUGGUUUAAAUGUAUCUUUCUGCUGCUAAUCGAUUGACACUGAACAAUUAUCAAUUAUUCUAUUUCAUUGCUCAGAUUUUACACCGACUGUUUCUGGGCUUCCACCAACUACUCCAGGAAAGAAGAGUAGGAUUGGGUUGAUAGUUGGUAUUGCAGUCCCUGUUGGGGCUGUGAGCUUGCUAUUAUUAUUUGGAGUUCUAUAUAUGAGGAGAAAAAAAUCAGAAAAAGAUGACGAUGAAGGUAAAAGAGCAUAUUAUUAGUGGUUAAUUCUGCAUGCGGUUUUAGAUUCUUUCUCGUGUUGAUAAGCAUGAAGCCUUUGAAAGAAAUUACUUCUUAUGUGUUGUGUGACAUUAACACAAAUUUUAUAGUAGCAUGUAUUGUUUCGAAAUUUAAACGUAUAUCAUACUUUCUUUUGAAUAUGCAGAUCUUCUAGGAUUAGGCCCCCGACCAAAUACUUUCAGUUAUGCUGAGUUGAGAGCUGCAACAGAAGAUUUUAAUCCUUCAAAUAAGCUAGGAGAGGGAGGAUAUGGACCUGUUUAUAAGGUGAAAUCUAUUUUACAUCAAUAUCUGCUACUUUAAAGUAAUGACUUUGACUUCUUACAAAAAGAAAUUGAGAGAGAAGCAAAAUAGAUUCUUUUUACUUCCCUUUCAUGUCACUGAAUUGUAUUUCUGUUUAUAGGGUACACUAUCUGAUGGGAGGGUAGUGGCUGUGAAGCAACUUUCAGUAGCAUCUCACCAAGGGAAGAGUCAAUUUGUAACCGAGAUUGCUACGAUAUCUGCAGUCCAACAUCGCAAUCUAGUGAAAUUGUAUGGAUGCUGCAUCGAAGGAACCCAGCGCAUUUUGGUUUAUGAGUAUCUUGAAAACAAGAGCCUUGAUCAGGCACUUUUUGGUAGGUUUUAUAGAAACAGAAUACUCUGCAGUUUCAAGGACUCUAAAAGUUCAUCCAAGUUUUUUACGCAAACAUUUUGUUAUAAUUUUUCUCUGCUGAGUAGUGAAGUUUAAAGAAACCAAAAGAGUAAUAUUCAAAUCAUAUGAAAUUAAAAACCUGCACAUUCUUUUGCUACUUUGCCUUCCAUUUUGCAAAGAAACAGAAUACUCUGCAGUUUAAAGUACUCUAAGGUUACAUCCAAUUUCUUUUUCUUUUUCUCUUCUACUUGUUAUUAGUUGUUAACAUGCAUUGGUUCUUCUCCAUGUAAUGUUUCAGGAAGAAAUGACUUGCACCUUGACUGGCCUACCCGCUUCAAUAUAUUGUUGGGAACAGCAAGAGGACUUGCUUACCUUCAUGAGGAGUCAAGGCCCAGGAUUGUACAUCGAGAUGUCAAAGCCAGUAAUAUUUUGAUCGAUGGAGAACUCUCCCCAAAAAUAUCAGAUUUUGGAUUGGCAAAGCUUUAUGAUGACGAAAAAACCCACAUUAGCACCCGGGUUGCAGGGACAAUGUAAGCCUCCGUUUAAGUUAUACAUUGUUAAUCGUGACAAGGGUGUAAUCCAAGCAACAUUUUUAGUAACCAUUUCAUGAUCUUGUAGAGGUUAUUUGGCGCCGGAGUAUGCAAUGCGUGGACAUCUGACAGAAAAGGCUGAUGUUUUUGGUUUCGGGGUUGUUGCUUUGGAGAUCCUCAGCGGGAGGCCAAACUCAGACAACAACUUGGAUCCUGAAAAGAUUUAUCUUCUUGAAUGGGUAGGAAAACAAUAUGCCUAGCUACUUUUAUUUUAGCAUUGUUGUGAAAACUUCUUUACUUUUUUCCUUUCUAACCAUGCCAUGCCCAUGAUGUUUGUUUUCAGGCAUGGACUCUACAUGAAAACGACCAGAGUUUGGGGCUGGUGGAUCCGAGAUUGACAGAGUUUGAUGAAAAGGAAGCAACUAGAUUGAUAAAAGCAGCUCUCCUCUGCACUCAGGCAUCACCAAUGAUGAGGCCAUCGAUGUCACGCGUAGUGGCAAUGCUCUCUGGAGAUAUUGAAGCAAGCACUGUUAUUUCAAAGCCAAGUUAUUUGACAGAUUGGGAUUUCAAAGAUGUAACCACGAGUAGCUUUUUGUUGGAUAAUGAUACCCCAUCAACUGAGAGCAAUGUUCAUCCCAACCAUCAGCCUGAAGGGACCACAACUAGUGUUAGCCCCGGGAUUGACCUUUCGCCGUCUCCGGUAAAUGUCACUGAAUCAAUGCUCACUGGCAUUAUAGGAGAAGGCAGGUGAGAACUAAGAAGUUGCCAUUGUCUUGCCCUUGCUGUCAAUAUGUGACUUUUACUGCUAAAACUUUCCUACAUGUUGUACUUUUCUUUGGGUCUUUCUCUGCGUCUAGUUUUUAGCAAUGGUGAUGCAUAUAUAAAAUAAGAUACAAUUUUAUAUAUAUCUGGUUGCCUUCAUCCUCAUCGAAAAAUAAUACAUGUUCAAAAAGAAAUGGAUGUUCCUUUUUCUUUUUGAUAGCACAGUAAAUUUUAAAUAAAGAAAAAACUUUACAUAAGCGCUUAUAAGCAAAAGUCUCGCAAAUUUAGAGACUUUAGUAGCUAAAUAGUAAAUUUCAGCAUAUGUGAACGACUGUGAAAUUGUUUGAUUAAUAAAAUGUCACAACGAACUCAAAUUGAUCCACAAGCAACUCAGCACCAAAGCAAAUCUCAGCAACAGAAAAAUAUGGAAAAACGGUUUUCUAAAGAAAGAAACGUCAAUGAUUCACCAUGUAGGCUUUAGUGGACUAAACAUGUGACGAUUCAUAUGUUGCAAAUGACAAAUAUAAUGGAUACAAUUACAAUGAUGAAUGCAAUUAUGAUGAGGAAUGCGAUUUUGAAGAAUUGACUUAAAUAAUCAACUUUUUUUUCUUGAUUUAGAUUAUAUUUUCAUGAACCAGUUGUAUCAUGUUACGAUCUAAAGGUUAAGCAAUUGAAUCUUCUGAUUUUUAACAACUUUUUCAAAUUGGAAUCGGUCUGAGGAGAGAUACUAUUGAGCAUUGUUUGCAUGUGAAACUCUUUGAACUAUAACCAUGAGCAAAAUUUGUAAAUUGGAACACUGAAUUGUUGGUUUAAAGUUGUUCAUAGUUUAUUGAGUGUAGGGAGAAGCACCAGUUUGACAACAAUAUUUCCCCUGUUUUCUUCUUCCUAAAUUCAACACUGACAACACCAAUAGGCUUCUCAAAAUUCUAUACAAGUCUGAGGAAAAUUUCAAUUGAUCAUUGAUUUGCAUCUCAAACUGUGAAUUUAUAUAAUUCAGUCAAAAGAAAUUUUAUUCAAUGUUGAAAAAUCUUUACAUAGAACACAGACCGAAUUGUGUCUUGGGUCUUGGUUCCAGCUUCCAAGCUGUUCAGAGUUUGCUAGCGAGAGCAAGAUACUUGGUAUGACGGCCCUGAGCUAUAAUUUUGCCUGUCUUCUUCUUCCUUAACUCAACACUGGCAACACCAACAGCCUUCCCAACUCGUAAAGCCUUGGCCUCAACCUCAACUUCCUCACCAGGGUAAGCAGAAUCCAAGUAUGAAACAUUGAUCUCCACUGAAACUCCAACGCUGGGAGUUCCGACGGUGAGGAUUGCAGCUGACCCUAUCAAAUCCACAAGGGUUGCUGUGGCUCCACCAUGCAUAAAAUUGCCUCCAUUCAGCAAACGAGGGGGUACUUUGAAGGAGCAAACAAUACGACCGGGUUCAAGGAGAUCAACUUGAAUGCCUUUCAUGAUAAAGGGCUCAAAGAACUUAUCUGGCAGCCCAUCCAUGGAGAUUGCCAUUUCACCUUCUUUCUCCAAGAACUUCUUCACUGACUCCAUACUUGUUUCCUCAUUUCCUUCUUUCUUCAUUUCAAUUAUUGCAAUCAAUUGAAUAUUAAUCUAUAAAAGGACUUUGUCUGUCUCAGUCUCAACAUAAGAUAACAAUUCUUGAUAAUAAAAAAUAUUAUGCAACUCAGGGGAAGAAAAAAAGAAUCAUACAAGGGCCAAGUUAAAAACUUUAACCUAUGUUUUCAUUUAGACACAUACACACACUAAGGUUCUAAUCUAGAUAGAGCAGUCAAACCAAACCAGCUUCUUAGUCAAUAUUUGCAAGGUGGUUUCAUAUCAUUUUCAUUUUCCUCCUAAAUUUCUCCACAAUCAACCAGAGCUCUGAGCUCUGAGCACUGAGAACCCUAACAUUACAUCCAUAGAGAAAAAAGAGAACUUCGUUUGCACACAAGCAGAUCAAGUCAGAUGCAAAACACAUUCAAGAUCAGGAAAACGGCCAAGCUAACCCAGAAUCCAAAAUCUAGUUACAAACAUGACAAAUUUCCCAAAUAUUUUCUGAGAAACACCUAAAUUGCGAGUUUAUACAAAACCCCAAAUCUAAUCUCAAAUUCCUCUCUAAAAACAAAACCCAGAUCAUCAAUUCCAUUAAAUUUCAGAAACGGAAACAUAAACCAGGGGGAGAGAGCUGAAUCAUACAAAUAGAGAGAAAGAGCUCUGAAUGAUUAACAAAUAGCUAAGAGAAAGAUCAGAACCUCAGGGCAGUGAGCUAUGUCCUUCUCUGACUCAGUGUUGCCUUAGAAAUGCGAGAAGAUGAUAAGAGAUAGGUUUCUUUCAAUUUUGUUGGGUAAAAAGAAGGUUUCUUUCGAAAGUAUAUUUUUGUUACUUAUAAUUUUGACUCAAUUUCGUUUGAAUCCUUGUAGUUUCAAAUAUAGCAAAAGCAAUCUAUUCCUAUGGUUUAUAUGGCAAUUGAAUCCAUCUCUUUCUUUUUUUUUUACUUUUUUUUUUAAAAUUAUUAUUUAUAAACUUGAAAAUCAAUCAUUAAAUUAGGGACCAUGAUGGAUAAUACAAACUAACCAACCAUGAUUUUUUUUUUUUAAACAAAUAAUAUUCUAAAUUAUUAUAAUGUACAAUAAUCGAGUUUAAAGAGAUAAGCACACUCUAUAGACCUAACUUAGGUGCACACCAACACGGAAUUAUUGAAUCAACAUCAUAAAGAAAAAAAAACCCUCAUCACAAGUAAAAGGUGAAUUUCCAAGUCUUUGAGGUUACUUGACAAUGUUUUGGUGAUUUCAAUUCCACCACCAAACUCCUUGAACAGAGGAGAGUGUUAAGAAAAUUUAGUAAACACUUUUAUAGGAGGAAUGCUUGGUUCUAAUUUCUCUAAACUCGUUUGAGUGGCUCAAUUAGCCCACCAGUGGUCUAGUGGUCUAGUGGUCUAGUGGUUAGGUUCAAUUCCUUUAAUAAUAAUAAUAAUAAUAAUAAUAAUAAUAUAUUUUUUGUUUAAGAAAAAGAGAGGAAAAAGCUGUGAGGCCAGUUGUUGAAUAAACAAAUAUUAAUGGUUUGAAGAGUUUGACAGAGACAAGGACUCUAUCCUCUCUGUCUCUCUCGUACCAUUAAGUGAGUGGGAGAAUCGUCUCUUUCACUCUCAUAUUGUUAGGAGAGAGAGAGAGAGAGAGAGAGAGAUAUAUAGAUAGAUCAUGAGAUACAGAAUCAAUGGAGUAAUCUAGCCGCCGGCUCCUCAUACUAAUUUGCUGUUUCUUGCUUCAACAGCUGGCUCUCUGCUUCAAUAUCUCAUCACCUCAGAAAUCUACUGCCAACCCUUUCUAAGGUACCUCUCUUCUCUCUCUCUCUCUCUCUCUCUCUCUCUCUCUGAGUUGGCUUGAAUGAUCAUAAACUGCUAGUUUUCUUCUUUGAAAAUGUUAAUAAAUUAA